CUGGAGACUAAGAAAAUAGAGUUAUUAAAAUCAAGCUGACUCUGCUUUUAGCUUCCUUAAUGAAAAGUUAGAAUAGGUCUUGCUUACAAAAUAAAUUCAAGACCUACUUAUCUACCAACAGCA
Molecule: non-coding RNA, 123 nt
Organism: Nycticebus coucang (slow loris)
Lineage: Eukaryota; Metazoa; Chordata; Mammalia; Primates; Lorisidae
Product: small Cajal body-specific RNA 15
Exons: 1
Source: RefSeq, a predicted model, not a curated record